AAGAUGGAAGAUCAACCUUGUCAAAUCAAGAUCAAAUCAAAAUAUACCGGUAAAUAGAAGUUGUUUGUAGAGAAAAGUGAAAUUCCGCGUGUUUAUCUGUGACCGGAAAAAAGUCCAAGAAAAUCCGGAUGGAUGGGGAGAAGCUUCUCCGAACCGUAAAAGGACGAAAGGAUUCUCUCUGGAACGCGCCCGGUAGCCCGAGGGCGAGCCGGAGUCUGUGUGCCGUCAACUGCUGUGCUACUGCUCUGUGCAAAUAAAUCAUCGUCAUCCUCGUCGACGGGUCCGGAGUCUCCCGGGCAACCAUCGCAGUAAGCCAUGAUGACAACGCAAGCCGAGGUUGGGGAAGAUUUACGGGGAUUAAAUAUGACCAAAACGGUUUUCCGCCGGAAUGAUGAACUGUCGGAUGUCGAGCAGUCGAGGGAGUCGACCUAUGAAAUUUAAUUCCAUAAUGAAACAAUUUAAAAUGUCAAGUAAUUACGCCUGAGCCCGGAAUUAAUUCCAUUUUGAUGGAUUGUCGGUCCCCUCGAUCUGCGGCGUUGGAUGAAGCGGCGCAAGUAGGCGAUGCAUGUCGGCGUGUCGUGCGUGGAGCAGUCAAGGUCGUCAAGGCCUGCUUGUUGUUUUUGAGCCUCUCGCUACGGAUGCUUCGAUUAAUCAAGCACCUUUUAACAACUGUCAACAUCUUAGCGCUUCUGUGUGGAAGCUCGCAAGAAGAACUACUGCCGAGAGAGGUGCUAUACUGUUUAAAUAUUUGCUUCAUUUUAAUUUUAAGUGGAUGUCACUCUCCGGCCGGUACGCGUGAACGACCCCUGCCGAAUCUUGACAGACGACGACGUCGUCAACAUUGGGCUUUUGUUUUCCUUCUCCAAAAAGAAUCAGCAAAUAUUGUUUCCAGCGCGUCAGCGAUGUCGGGAUAAACAUAACCUGGUUUAAUCCAGCGAGUUCAAUUUUCAUCAAAUCAGCACAAAAAUCCAUCCAUCCAAGCAAUCUUCGAGCAGUGGCCCGGGUUGCUACGAUUCGUACCUGCACCGGAGAACGAAUCUUGCUGAACAAAUAUUUGGCUAACUUUUUUGUCGUUUGGUUUGUUUUCUUCCCUCCUCCCGGAAUUCCUCGCGGACUACUGUUGCUGUCUUUAAUUUUAAAGUGCCUUCGACGACGGUUCCCCCCAGAGUUUCGCCAGGACGACGGCGACGAUCAACCUUCUCGCUGUCUCCACUCGGCUUUAUUUGUAAAUACUUUUAUGCAUGUUUCAUGUUCGUUUUCCAAACACUGGCAGUCGUCAAAUAUUUGGAAUGAAUUUUGUGACCGGUCCCCCGAUUGCAGUAGGCUACCGACGGAUCGAUGAAGAACCAAAUAGGUACGGCAGGGUACGGCAAGGGCAUCUCCACCGCCUACCGCUGUGGAGUCGCUCUAACGACGGUUGUAACAAAAGCAAACUCUGCGUCAAAUUAACGCAAAAUUCCCUGCACGCUCAAACAUUCCUACCCAAGCUCGCCGAAUGUUUGUCACUCUUCAGCAGUGCGACAAAAUUUUGAAACGUCAAAAGCGCGAACGGGAGGGAAACAGAAAAAAAACAACCACUCACGCACACUAGCCACGUGCGCGCUCGUCACUUGCGGUGACGACCACUUUUCCGUUCUGUUUACAUUUACUACCGCGCGACUACUACAUUUGCGAUCGGCACGACAACGAGUUGUUUGAUAGUUCAAUAUCAACAUCAUUAAGUUGGCGCAAUGGCUGCGACGGCUGUUGUUUUUUACUAUUUCAAAGUUUCGUUGUCGCGAGCUACCGGAUUACGUAAAUCGAGUUGUGUGUGUAUUUGAGGUUGUGGCCGUCGGUUGUGGUCGGCAAGGUUGGAAUUAGCAAACAAAGUUUGCGAAAUGAAACGAGGACAAUGUUGGGUAGAUUGAGGUAAGGUAGCGAUUUGUUUGCCCUACAUCGAGGUAAUAUCGGUCCUACAAGAGAACGUUAUGAAAUAUUUCUUACCCUGUAGAACUUUCAAACGUUAAAAUCUGUUGUCAAAUGGCAUGGUCGUCGUGUGACAGCUGUCAGUCUUUCAUUUAUCGAAUUAGGAUUCGGAAUGAUCUUCGAAUGCAGUUCUUUUAAAGUUGUCGGACUCUCAAUGCCUUUCUCAAUGUAUACUGGAUUGCGAUAAAUUUAAAUUCAUUUUACGAUUGCUUCACAAACAUCCCUCCAUAUUUCUAAAUGCAUUUUACCUUCCAACUUUAAG
Molecule: long non-coding RNA, 2227 nt
Organism: Culex pipiens pallens (northern house mosquito)
Lineage: Eukaryota; Metazoa; Arthropoda; Insecta; Diptera; Culicidae
Exons: 3
Source: RefSeq, a predicted model, not a curated record